AUUCAAGUAGCUUAAAAUAGAGCAUAACAUUGAAGAUGUUGGAGUGAUUGAAUGAUCCUUGGAUG
This 65-nucleotide transfer RNA is filed under the name Bactrocera moluccensis. Its description in RNAcentral is "tRNA-Phe". The record is from RNAcentral. Lineage: Eukaryota; Metazoa; Arthropoda; Insecta; Diptera; Tephritidae.